This 1345-nucleotide ribosomal RNA is filed under the name Staphylococcus aureus. Its description in RNAcentral is "partial 23S ribosomal RNA". It matches the Rfam family "Bacterial large subunit ribosomal RNA", at positions 426 to 1775 of the family's 2925-position model. The record is from RNAcentral. Lineage: Bacteria; Bacillati; Bacillota; Bacilli; Caryophanales; Staphylococcaceae.
GUGAAAUUCCGUCGGAAUCUGGGAGGACCAUCUCCUAAGGCUAAAUACUCUCUAGUGACCGAUAGUGAACCAGUACCGUGAGGGAAAGGUGAAAAGCACCCCGGAAGGGGAGUGAAAUAGAACCUGAAACCGUGUGCUUACAAGUAGUCAGAGCCCGUUAAUGGGUGAUGGCGUGCCUUUUGUAGAAUGAACCGGCGAGUUACGAUUUGAUGCAAGGUUAAGCAGUAAAUGUGGAGCCGUAGCGAAAGCGAGUCUGAAUAGGGCGUUUAGUAUUUGGUCGUAGACCCGAAACCAGGUGAUCUACCCUUGGUCAGGUUGAAGUUCAGGUAACACUGAAUGGAGGACCGAACCGACUUACGUUGAAAAGUGAGCGGAUGAACUGAGGGUAGCGGAGAAAUUCCAAUCGAACCUGGAGAUAGCUGGUUCUCUCCGAAAUAGCUUUAGGGCUAGCCUCAAGUGAUGAUUAUUGGAGGUAGAGCACUGUUUGGACGAGGGGCCCCUCUCGGGUUACCGAAUUCAGACAAACUCCGAAUGCCAAUUAAUUUAACUUGGGAGUCAGAACAUGGGUGAUAAGGUCCAUGUUCGAAAGGGAAACAGCCCAGACCACCAGCUAAGGUCCCAAAAUAUAUGUUAAGUGGAAAAGGAUGUGGCGUUGCCCAGACAACUAGGAUGUUGGCUUAGAAGCAGCCAUCAUUUAAAGAGUGCGUAAUAGCUCACUAGUCGAGUGACACUGCGCCGAAAAUGUACCGGGGCUAAACAUAUUACCGAAGCUGUGGAUUGUCCUUUGGACAAUGGUAGGAGAGCGUUCUAAGGGCGUUGAAGCAUGAUCGUAAGGACAUGUGGAGCGCUUAGAAGUGAGAAUGCCGGUGUGAGUAGCGAAAGAUGGGUGAGAAUCCCGUCCACCGAUUGACUAAGGUUUCCAGAGGAAGGCUCGUCCGCUCUGGGUUAGUCGGGUCCUAAGCUGAGGCCGACAGGCGUAGGCGAUGGAUAACAGGUUGAUAUUCCUGUACCACCUAUAAUCGUUUUAAUCGAUGGGGGGACGCAGUAGGAUAGGCGAAGCGUGCGAUUGGAUUGCACGUCUAAGCAGUAAGGCUGAGUAUUAGGCAAAUCCGGUACUCGUUAAGGCUGAGCUGUGAUGGGGAGAAGACAUUGUGUCUUCGAGUCGUUGAUUUCACACUGCCGAGAAAAGCCUCUAGAUAGAAAAUAGGUGCCCGUACCGCAAACCGACACAGGUAGUCAAGAUGAGAAUUCUAAGGUGAGCGAGCGAACUCUCGUUAAGGAACUCGGCAAAAUGACCCCGUAACUUCGGGAGAAGGGGUGCUCUUUAGGGUUAACGCCCAGAAGA